CUCUCCAUCCUCAGAGGGGAGUGCCACUGUCCGAAUGUCGCACACAGCCUGCUCGAUGGUACCUGGCUGAGAUCAGCAUCACACAACCGUCAACCCUCAGCAUCAUCACCAAAGAGGCCAGCCUCUCUUUCCUCCCUGCCAUAUACUGCUGAAGCUUUAAAAACACGCCCUGUAAUGCGCUACUACUUACUACAAGUGGCUGCGUUAGAGACCGUGUUUAUUUACCGCAAGUGUCCAAAAGAGCAGCAUGAAUGGGCUCAUUUUGAAGAGAAAUACGCAUGGUCUUAUUCAUCACUCAUCAGACUGGGUGCUAAAUGAAAGAACGUGGUUUGACUUACCCUGAAGACGAAAUAGUCCUUUACUUUCGCUUGCAUUGUGGGGUUAUGAACGUGGAAGGGUGUCAGGGUUUGUAAGGGAGGGCAGCAGGCCACGGAAGCUCCGUGUCCGAAGCUUCUUCCGGCCUCCGGCGGCGUAAAGGCGACCUCAACCCCUUCCUCGGUUUCUGCAGGGUGGAGAAUCGCGGCACCCGGACUCUCCGGCUCCACCGAAUCGUUUAGCUGAAGCAUGCUGCAACAGACGCUGUUCGAGGUGCUCCUCGACAAUGUAGACACUGUUAGAUAAGGAAAUGUCCUUUCGAUGAUGCAGACUCACCCAUGGCGCACGGAUGAUGUUUUGAUUUUGAGAGCUACGAGGAAGUAAGUCAGAGCUCUCCUGCUUCACUUCCCCCCAGUAAUUCCCUUCCUCUUAAAGGGACCUCUUGUUUUCAGCUGGCUGUAUAAACACAGUUUUAAGGAGAAGGGUACACUUCUGAAAUGCCCAUAAUGACCAGUGUCAUAUUCUUAAGGGGGUUAUUAAUUAGAUUUUGCAUACUAUUAACGCGUUAUUAUCUUGUAAUUAAUCUACACCAAAAUUCCACAUUUUCAGCAUACUAAGGUGUUUAACUGACUUCUAUCGGAUAUAAUGUAGGUUUUAUUCAUGUCUUAACCUUUAACUACUACUGGUAUGCAAGGAAUUAUCUCUAAAUUUGUCCUUUUGUCUUUUAAUGGCCCAUAGGCUAUAGGUUCCUCUGGAUAACUGUUAUGGAUUGCCUCCAUCUCCAGUAUUUAUACAGUCACUAGUCAUUAUUAAUGCAUUUCUAUAAAAAAGACAGACUGGUAGCAUUGUUAUUAUGUGUUGUUUUUAUUGCCAUGUUCAAUUCUCCCUGUUUGUCUGUCAGUCUCUUUCCAUUUCUCCUUUUCUGCCUCUUUUUCUCUAUUCUGGCAGUGUCCAUCUUAUGGAGGCAGAUGGCUGUUUCCAUGCAAGUCUGGUUCAACUCAAGGUUUCUGUUAAAACUGGCCUGGGAACUCCUUGGUAUCCUCCCGGAGGAGCUGGUGGAAGUGGCCGUGGAGAUGAGUGUCUGGGCUUCUCUGCUGAGACUGCUGCCCCCUCGACCCAGACUAGGAUAAACAGAGGAAGAUGGAUGGAUGGACCUCUAAAAGCUGCAUCGUGUCUGUUGUUCUCAGGCUAUGUCAAAACUAAGCAGCCGCAAGAAUUGAAGCCAAUGCGGAAGCGUUAAAAACUGCAGUCCAUCAAGUGUCCGUUGAAGCUGACUCAGGAAAUACCGGAAACCACAUACACACCAAUUCAAAAAAGACAAUCUUAACAGCACAAAUAAACAUGUUUACUGCCUUGUACAAAAGAAGAGUAU
This is a long non-coding RNA of Notolabrus celidotus (New Zealand spotty), 1687 nucleotides long. RefSeq lists it as uncharacterized. Lineage: Eukaryota; Metazoa; Chordata; Actinopteri; Labriformes; Labridae. The transcript is spliced from 3 exons. The record is from RefSeq and is a predicted model, not a curated record.